Molecule: long non-coding RNA, 829 nt
Filed under: Gallus gallus (chicken)
Lineage: Eukaryota; Metazoa; Chordata; Aves; Galliformes; Phasianidae
Source: RNAcentral
GUUUAAUCUCACAAAUUUGUGUCAACUCUUUGUUUCUAGAAGAAUUUUAUCAUUUGAUCUCAUGGUUACACUUUAGUAGACUUCAGUACAUAUUUUAUUUCCCUCUCCAGAAUAUAAAAUUCCAUCUUGUGUCAAAAUAUUCUUAUUAGUAUCUAUUUAUAUUUCAGAGAUACUUAGAAUCUUCAGCUGAGAGCGGGGUCGUCUUGUAGAAGAUGAUACAGAGGCACACAAUAAAGGACUGCUGGUCCCAGGAGCCUGGCAAGCUAAGCAAGGGGAGAGAGGAAAUAUCACCACUGUUUUGCAGAUGGAAAACCAGAGCUCUGAGAAUCUGUGCAACUUGUUGCAGUGUCACACAGCAAUAUUGGCAAGGGAGUUCUGUAAAAGUGUCAAAGUCCAGACUCAGUGCAUACUAAAGGUGGAUAUAAACCCCGUUUUCUUGGCGAGCAUCAAUAUAAGCUCACAUAAAUUACAGACUCUGUAAUCCUGGGGAGGCGGUAGCAAGCAGAGGGUAUUCACUCAAGAUGGAGCAGCGGAGAAGCACAGUGAUGUUCCCUGAAGACAAAACAAACCAAGUGGAAAGUUCACUGUCUUCCUUUUGAAGAUGACUGAAGGUAGGAGGGGAGAUUGCCAGAAGUGAGGGUGGGGUGGCAGCUGGCACAGAGCUGCUUGCAGCCCCCAAACCUUCAAGGCCAUGGCAAACAUUUCCAACAAAGCCUACUGAAUUCUGUUUGCAGGACUGUGAGCUAAACUCUUUACCAAUGCUAGCUGCACUGCUGUAAUGCUGCCGUCUGACUUAAAACCAGUUCAGGCUAAUUGUUAAGGAUCAGAU